RNAcentral lists this ribosomal RNA (402 nucleotides) under uncultured Acidobacteriota bacterium. Its description in RNAcentral is "uncultured Acidobacteria bacterium partial 16S ribosomal RNA". It matches the Rfam family "Bacterial small subunit ribosomal RNA", at positions 355 to 774 of the family's 1533-position model. Lineage: Bacteria; Pseudomonadati; Acidobacteriota. The record is from RNAcentral.
UCGGGAAUUUUGCUCAAUGGGGGAAACCCUGAAGCAGCAACGCCGCGUGAGGGAUGAAGGCCUUCGGGUUGUAAACCUCUUUUGUCAGGGACGAUGAUGACGGUACCUGGCGAAUAAGCCACGGCUAACUACGUGCCAGCAGCCGCGGUAAUACGUAGGUGGCAAGCGUUGUCCGGAUUUACUGGGCGUAAAGAGCGCGCAGGCGGUCUUGUAAGUCGAGUGUGAAAGCCCCUGGCUCAACCAGGGAGGGUCAUUCGAUACUGCUUGACUCGAAGGCAGGAGAGGGAAGUGGAAUUCCGGGUGUAGUGGUGAAAUGCGUAGAUAUCCGGAGGAACACCAGUGGCGAAGGCGACUUUCUGGCCUGUUCUUGACGCUGAGGCGCGAAAGCUAGGGGAGCAAACG